AACGAACGCUGGCGGUGUGCUUAACACAUGCAAGUCGAACGAGAGAGUUUCCUUCGGGGAACUAGUAAAGUGGCGCAAGGGUGAGUAACACGUGAAUAAUCUGCCCUCGAGAUCGGGAUAACUUGGCGAAAGCUAAGCUAAUACCGGAUAAGACCACAUUUCAUAAGAAAUGAGGGAAAAGGAGUCUCAACCUCCACUCGAGGAUGAGUUCGCGGACCAUUAGCUUGUUGGUGAGAUAAAAGCUCACCAAGGCUACGAUGGAUAGCCGGCCUGAGAGGGUGAUCGGCCACACUGGAACCUGAGACACGGGUCCAGACUCCUACGGGAGGCAGCAGUGGGGAAUAUUGCGCAAUGGGCGAAAGCCUGACGCAGCAACACCGUGUGAGCGAUG
This 391-nucleotide ribosomal RNA is filed under the name uncultured Nitrospina sp. RNAcentral's name for it is "bacterial SSU rRNA". It matches the Rfam family "Bacterial small subunit ribosomal RNA", at positions 29 to 410 of the family's 1533-position model. Lineage: Bacteria; Pseudomonadati; Nitrospinota; Nitrospinia; Nitrospinales; Nitrospinaceae. The record is from RNAcentral.